UUGAAAGGGAAACGAUUGAAGUCAGUCAUGCUUGUAGGGAAUCAACAUGGUGGUCUUCUUCCUUGUGCACUUCCCUGCUUGGCAGGUUAGCAUUAAUUUUGAUUGUCAUUAAAGAAUCGGGGGAAUGUGGCUUCUUCGGGAGUGUUAUAGACCUCGGUAGAUGUGGCGAUCGGGAUUGAGGAUUGCAGCGAAUGCUUCUAGGCUAGUCACCUGGCUUCUGACGGUUGCCUUGCUUCCGAUAGCUUGCUAACGGUGGUGAGACUCGAUUGUCUAGAUGUUAGUGUGAUCAUAAAUUCGCUAAGGAUGCUGACGUAAUGGCUUUAAACGACCCGUCUUGAAACACGGACCA
RNAcentral lists this ribosomal RNA (349 nucleotides) under Glomeromycotina sp. RNAcentral's name for it is "partial large subunit ribosomal RNA". The record is from RNAcentral. Lineage: Eukaryota; Fungi; Glomeromycota.